This 299-nucleotide long non-coding RNA is filed under the name Lupinus angustifolius (narrow-leaved blue lupine). RNAcentral's name for it is "long non-coding RNA (LANG_LNC001970)". The record is from RNAcentral. Lineage: Eukaryota; Viridiplantae; Streptophyta; Magnoliopsida; Fabales; Fabaceae.
UUGCACAUACAUUUCGAUGUUCAUUUCAUGAUAUAUUUUAAAACAUUUUAUAAAGAAAAAUCCCUUUAUUUUUUAAAUAACAUAAGCUUCUUCCCCCUUUUAUUAUUAUAUAGAUAUAAUAGGGAGAAGGUUACAACUCAAAUCCCAGUCUCAUACAUGCCAUUCUCACGAAGAAGAAGCAAAGAUGAUGCUACCUCCAACUCAUCAUUGGAUGCUGGCAUAUUAUCUUGGGCCUCAACCAAGGAAGCCUUGAACUCCACAAGCUCCUCAAAACUAAGAUUAUCAAUGGGAAGUUUUCC